RNAcentral lists this ribosomal RNA (198 nucleotides) under uncultured bacterium. RNAcentral's name for it is "partial 16S ribosomal RNA". It matches the Rfam family "Bacterial small subunit ribosomal RNA", at positions 335 to 524 of the family's 1533-position model. The record is from RNAcentral.
ACUCCUACGGGAGGCAGCAGUGGGGAAUAUUGGACAAUGGGCGCAAGCCUGAUCCAGCCAUGCCGCGUGUGUGAAGAAGGCCUUAUGGUUGUAAAGCACUUUAAGCGAGGAGGAGGCUACUUUAGUUAAUACCUAGGGCUAGUGGACGUUACUCGCAGAAUAAGCACCGGCUAACUCUGUGCCAGCAGCCGCGGUAAU